RNAcentral lists this ribosomal RNA (253 nucleotides) under uncultured bacterium. RNAcentral's name for it is "partial 16S ribosomal RNA". It matches the Rfam family "Bacterial small subunit ribosomal RNA", at positions 524 to 776 of the family's 1533-position model. The record is from RNAcentral.
UACAGAGGGUGCGAGCGUUAAUCGGAAUUACUGGGCGUAAAGCGCGCGUAGGCGGCUUUGCAAGUCGGGUGUGAAAUCCCCAGGCUUAACCUGGGAACUGCAUUCGAGACUGCAUUGCUAAAGUAUGGGAGAGGGAAGUGGAAUUUCAGGUGUAGCGGUGAAAUGCGUAGAUAUCUGGAGGAAUACCGGUGGCGAAGGCGGCAUCCUGGACCGGCAUUGACGCUGAGGAGCGAAAGCCAGGGGAGCAAACGGG